UAUGUGAUCGUCUCUCGCAUAUCAAUAAGCGGAGGAAAAGAAACUAACAAGGAUUCCCCUAGUAACGGCGAGUGAAGCGGGAAGAGCUCAAAUUUGAAAUCUUAAAGGGUUUCCCUUUACGAAUUGUAGUUUAAAGAAGUGUUUUCUGUUGAGGUUUUGGUAAAAGUUCUUUGGAAUAGGACAUCAUAGAGGGUGAGAAUCCCGUAUUUGACCUUUACUUUCAACUUUGUGAUACACUUUCAAAGAGUCGGAUUGUCUGGGAAUGCAGUCCAAAAUGGGUGGUAAAUUUCAUCUAAAGCUAAAUAUUGGCGAGAGACCGAUAGCGAACAAGUACCGUGAGGGAAAGAUGAAAAGAACUUUGAAAAGAGAGUUAAACAGUACGUGAAAUUGUCAAAAGGGAAGCGUUUGACACCAGUGUUGUUUUUCUGAAAAUCAAUUAAAGAACUGUUUAUGCUAAGCUGUUUAGACUUUAUCAGCUAAUCUGUUUAGUUUUGAGCUUUUCUUUAAUGCACUUUUCAGUUAACAAGUCAACAUCAAUUUCUUUUGCUGUAAAAAAGCUUGAGGAAGGUGGCUUGAGAUUCGUCUUAAGUGUUUAUAGCCUCUUGCCUAUGCAGUCGGAGAGAUUGAGGUCUGCAGCGUAGAUCCUUCGGGGCUAAAUGCAUUUGUGCUAAGUUAUAGCAUUUUAUAGACAACUUGUUGACUAUGAUUUGUCUUGUAGCUUACUCGCUUAUGUUAUUUUACCUACGCUUAGGAUGUUGAUCUGUAGUGCGUGCGC
This 775-nucleotide ribosomal RNA is filed under the name uncultured Neocallimastigales. RNAcentral describes it as "partial large subunit ribosomal RNA". It matches the Rfam family "Eukaryotic large subunit ribosomal RNA", at positions 24 to 647 of the family's 3401-position model. The record is from RNAcentral. Lineage: Eukaryota; Fungi; Neocallimastigomycota; Neocallimastigomycetes; Neocallimastigales.